UUGGGACACAAUGUUGUCAGGGGAGCUGUGUGCCUCUCCUUAUUUUUUGUGCAGUUGAGAUCUCUGCUGGACACACUAGAUAUUGAAAUCUUUGUUGAUUCUCUUGGUUCUGGUUUGGCUGACCUGUCAGCUGGAGCUGGAGGACAUGCCUGGAAGGGGAGUGACCCCAUGGCAAAGACCAGGGCUCCGCACAGUGAAAGCAGCUGGGACCCAGAGAAGCCAGUGAGGUCUGACUCUUAAAAGCCAAAGACCAGCAGGUGGUGUCCUCAGGGGCAAGUGGACUGCACUGGUACCCAUUCAAGUGGACUGGAAAAAGGUAAGAGGCUUUGGACACUCCAUUUUCUCUCUCAGCUCUUCAGCAGGAGAUUUAGGCCCUGGGCUGGUACUGUCCUGCAGCAGGGGCAGGGUGGACAGCAAUGGCUGCAUAUCAGGCCUAAGUCCAUGUCAUCCUCUCAGGCAUUGCCCCAGAAGACGGAGAAUUUUGUUCAGAAUCCCAGCCUGGGCACAUGGGAGGAACCACCUUAUUAAAAUUAAUUUAAGAAAACAGCAUGCGUGCUUUAUUCUUCUAGAAUAAUUAUUAAUGUCAUGUUUUACAAUGUAUCUCUUAAAGGAAUGGUGAGAAUCAUCUACAUAAUGCAUGUUUUACGUGGUCUUUUCUAUAAUUGCAGCUUUCACAUGUUCUUAUAGAAUCCAUUUCCUUUGGGAACACACAGGCAGUAUCUCUGUGUUGAUUUCUACUGGGAAAUCUUUAUGCAGGGUGGAGAGAGUCACAUUUCCUAAUGAGAGAUGGAAAGCAUCUGAUUACCAGAAAAAGUGUUCAAAUUCUGCUGGUAUGAUCACGGUGCUGCGGGUGGAGGUCAGUUUAAGGAGGAUUCAGGCAAAGCAAUUUUGAAAGUCUUUUUCAUUGUUUCUGUUUCUUUGUUUGUUUUUUGUUUUGUUUUUUUGUUUUUUUACAAAACCAUGGCAGAAGCCACCACCUGGACCCAUCACAUGUUGGAAUGAAUGAGGGACAGAAAUGGAGCUCAGUAAUUGAGAAUGAAAUUCAGGAGUGAGGAAGAGGUUUGAGAGGUCAACGGGUGUGAGAGGUGAAUGGGUGAAGGAUGAGAAUGUUCAAAACAUCUUCUUUCUCCAUAAUAAGAGAGCAUUUAGGCCUCUGAGUCAGACAAUGUCCAGGCCAGGGGGAGCAGGAUGUUGUUGGCUCUCCUGGGCAAAAGUGAAACUCCAUCAGUGUCCAGGUACCUCAUCCAGGUUGGGAUUUGUUCCCAUUUUAAAAAUGAUCCAACAGUAUACAAUUUUGAAAAUAUACAAAAAUCUCUAUGCUAUCAUUCGUAGAUAGACAAGAUGGCCCUAAGAUGGUGAGAGAAUCACAAUGGGGUUUGGGUUUACAUUGUGUAUUUUUUUCUCCCAAUAUCUACAAAAUUCCCUACAUCAAUUCUUUAAUGUAACCCAGUGGGUGUCAUUCCCUUUCACAAUUACAGACAUUUCCAGUUCACGGUUAAAACCCUCGGAAAACCCACACCCUUUCUGCUGUGAGGUACAGGCAGCCAUGGGCAUCACCUCUAAACAUGCCUUCUGGGUCAUCAAAUUACUGAUUUAAAAGUCAUCUCAGUAGAUAUUGAAGACCUCCAUUUUACCCCUCUCACACUUGCAAUUCUUCUACCAAGAGAUGAUGGAUUUUAGUGGUGAUUUGCUUUUAUAAAUUAGUUUAGAUUAAUGCUUCUGCCAGGGGAAAAUUUUUCAUUGAGAAAAGCAUUUGGCAAAGUCUGGAGACAUUGCUGGUUGUCAGAGCUGGGGGAGGGAGUCCUGCUGGCCUUGAGUGGGUAGAGUCCCCGGAUAGUGUUGAACAUUCUAG
Molecule: long non-coding RNA, 1852 nt
Filed under: Macaca mulatta (Rhesus monkey)
Lineage: Eukaryota; Metazoa; Chordata; Mammalia; Primates; Cercopithecidae
Description: lncRNA (ENSMMUG00000062351.1)
Source: RNAcentral